This 284-nucleotide ribosomal RNA is filed under the name uncultured bacterium. RNAcentral describes it as "partial 16S ribosomal RNA". It matches the Rfam family "Bacterial small subunit ribosomal RNA", at positions 793 to 1055 of the family's 1533-position model. The record is from RNAcentral.
GUCCUAGCCCUAAACGAUGGGUACUAGGUUGUGGACUUAACAUGGGUUCACAGCCGAAGCAAAAGUGUUAAGUACCCCGCCUGGGGAGUAUGGUCGCAAGGCUGAAACUCAAAGGAAUUGACGGGGGCUCACACAAGCGGUGGAGCAUGUGGCUUAAUUCGAGGCUACGCGAAGAACCUUAUCCUGGACUUGACAUGUGCGAAAGCGGUAGGAAGUAGGGGGCGGAAACGUUCCCCCAACGGUAUCCAAUCCGGAACCUACUACAGGUGCUGCAUGGCUGUCGU